UGGGGAAUAUUGCACAAUGGGCGCAAGCCUGAUGCAGCCAUGCCGCGUGUGUGAAGAAGGCCUUCGGGUUGUAAAGCACUUUCAGCGGGGAGGAAGGCGUUAAGGUUAAUAACCUUAGCGAUUGACGUUACCCGCAGAAGAAGCACCGGCUAACUCCGUGCCAGCAGCCGCGGUAAUACGGAGGGUGCAAGCGUUAAUCGGAAUUACUGGGCGUAAA
Molecule: ribosomal RNA, 217 nt
Filed under: Klebsiella pneumoniae
Lineage: Bacteria; Pseudomonadati; Pseudomonadota; Gammaproteobacteria; Enterobacterales; Enterobacteriaceae
Description: partial 16S ribosomal RNA
Rfam family: Bacterial small subunit ribosomal RNA
Source: RNAcentral